RNAcentral lists this ribosomal RNA (756 nucleotides) under uncultured bacterium. RNAcentral describes it as "bacterial SSU rRNA". It matches the Rfam family "Bacterial small subunit ribosomal RNA", at positions 8 to 796 of the family's 1533-position model. The record is from RNAcentral.
AGAGUUUGAUCAUGGCUCAGAAUCAACGCUGGCGGCGCGCUUAACACAUGCAAGUCGAACGAGAAAGUGGAGCAAUCCAUGAGUAAAGUGGCGUACGGGUGAGUAACACGUGGGUAAUCUGCCUUUUAGUGAGGAAUAACGAUGGGAAACCGUCGCUAAUACCGCAUGAGCCCGAGAGGGGAAAGUCGCAAGACGCUGAAAGAGGAGCCCGCGGCCGAUUAGCUAGUUGGUAGGGUAAAAGCCUACCAAGGCAGAGAUCGGUAGCCGGCCUGAGAGGGCACACGGCCACACUGGCACUGAAACACGGGCCAGACUCCUACGGGAGGCAGCAGUGGGGAAUCUUGCACAAUGGGGGCAACCCUGAUGCAGCGACGCCGCGUGAGCGAUGAAGCCCUUCGGGGUGUAAAGCUCUUUCGGCAGGGAAGAUGAUGACGGUACCUGCAGAAGCAGCUGCGGCUAACUACGUGCCAGCAGCCGCGGUAAUACGUAGGCAGCGAGCGUUGUUCGGAGUUACUGGGCGUAAAGGGUGUGUAGGCGGUUCUUUAAGUUUGGUGUGAAAUCUCCCGGCUUAACCGGGAGGGUGCGCCGAAUACUGAGGGACUAGAGUGUGCGAGAGGAAAGUGGAAUUCCUGGUGUAGCGGUGAAAUGCGUAGAUAUCAGGAGGAACACCGGUGGUGUAGACGGCUUUCUGGACCAUAACUGACGCUGAGACACGAAAGCGUGGGUAGCAAACAGGAUUAGAUACCCUAGUAGUCC